RNAcentral lists this ribosomal RNA (468 nucleotides) under uncultured bacterium. RNAcentral describes it as "partial 16S ribosomal RNA". It matches the Rfam family "Bacterial small subunit ribosomal RNA", at positions 28 to 507 of the family's 1533-position model. The record is from RNAcentral.
GACGAACGCUGGCGGCGUGCUUAACACAUGCAAGUCGAACGGAAAGGCCCUGCUUUUGUGGGGUGCUCGAGUGGCGAACGGGUGAGUAACACGUGAGUAACCUGCCCUUGACUUUGGGAUAACUUCAGGAAGCUGGGGCUAAUACCGGAUAGGAGCUCCUGCUGCAUGGUGGGGGUUGGAAAGUUUCGGCGGUUGGGGAUGGACUCGCGGCUUAUCAGCUUGUUGGUGGGGUAGUGGCUUACCAAGGCUUUGACGGGUAGCCGGCCUGAGAGGGUGACCGGCCACAUUGGGACUGAGAUACGGCCCAGACUCCUACGGGAGGCAGCAGUGGGGAAUAUUGCACAAUGGGCGGAAGCCUGAUGCAGCAACGCCGCGUGCGGGAUGACGGCCUUCGGGUUGUAAACCGCUUUCGCCUGCGACGAAGCGUGAGUGACGGUAAUGGGUAAAGAAGCACCGGCUAACUACGUG